Molecule: ribosomal RNA, 388 nt
Filed under: Paralomis spinosissima
Lineage: Eukaryota; Metazoa; Arthropoda; Malacostraca; Decapoda; Lithodidae
Description: partial 16S ribosomal RNA
Rfam family: Bacterial large subunit ribosomal RNA
Source: RNAcentral
UAUCAUCUGUUUCUUAAAUAUUUAUUGAAUUUGACUUUUAAGUGAAAAGGCUUAAAUAAACCAAAAAGACGAUAAGACCCUAUAAAUCUUUACAAGAAAUAUAUUUUAUGUUUUAGCUUAUAAGURUAUAAGAAAUAAAAAUAUAAGUUUGUUGCGCUGGGGCGGCGUAGAUAUAUAAAUAAACUGUCUAUGAUUUAAAUACAAUAAUUAUUGUUUAAUACAGAUUGAUCCUUAAAUAGAUUAAAAGAUUAAGAUACUUUAGGGAUAACAGCGUUAUUUUUUCUGAGAGUUCUUAUCGAAGAAAAAGUUUGCGACCUCGAUGUUGAAUUAAAGUUUCUUUAUGGUGCAGCCGCUAUAAGAGAGAGUCUGUUCGACUUUUAAUACUUUA